AUGCUAACCGCGGCUAGCAGCCUAAGCGACCGUCAACGAAUUUGACUGAUGCUUGAGCAAAAUCUCACGGCACGCCGCCGAUCAAAAUGUUGCAAUGAUGAUGGUCUCGUCUCGAUUGACUACCGAAUGUAGAAGACUUUUCUAUUUUCUGUUCUAUAAAUGGCAACGGAAGUAUAUACACGGGUUCAUAAUGGAGACCUUCUGCCCUCUAGUGGAAGAGCAUUGAAUUGAGAGGUUUCACAAUUGAUUAAUUGUUUCGUUUUAUAAUCGAUGAGAUGUGGAUCUAAUCGAUUAUAAAACGAAACAAUUUCGAUCAUCGUUUAAAGACGUCGUUUAAUGUAUAAUUGUGCAAAUGCUCGGGAUUUAAGCCUUUCAACAGCAAAUAUUUUCCGAUUUCUGAAGUCCUCCAUAGACGCAGACUUUUUUUUUUUUAAUAAAUAAAUAAGACAUUUGCAAACAUCUGCGUUUACUUUGGGAAAACAACAAUUAACAUUUUUGCCAAUUUUCGAAUGGAUGUUACGGACCAAACAAGUAACUGAAUCAAUUUAUGUUUGUGCAUUUGAAAUGUCCUGUCUAUGAGUAAAGAGAUGAUAAAUUUAAAUCCUAUUCAAGUAAUUGAAAAAAAAUAAUCGACAUAGUCAAAUCAUUGUAAGUUGCGGUUUUAAUUGAAUUGUUUUGCCUGUCACUAUGUAUCGCUGGCAUAGACAGAUGAACAAAGAUAAUUUAUAGUCGCUAGGUUUGGUAAGAAUUGAAGUGAAAUUGGAUCAUUUGUUACGGCACACUCAUGUCACAAACACACACGCAAAGCUGUAACGGCUUCUUUAUACUCGCGCUGACGUCACUGCGGCAGUUUGCCUUUAUACUCCAGCGCAAGCCACGCGCGCUGUUUUGAAAGUGUGCUGCAGUUCUCCUCCAAGUCGGGGGUGUCGCUACAGGUGGUAUUGGCUCGGACGCCACAGGGUGGAGUUUCCUCCGCAUGUUUUUGUGCCAUUUCCGGUAGCCGUUUUUACUUUCCUUUCAGUAACAAGGAACAAAGCAACAACAAUGGCAAUCGCGACAGAACAAAUGGACCCGGAUGACCAGAUGAUACGUGUAAUUAUGCUGCAAAAUCGAUCGAGAAGGCGGCGACGUAGAUGGCAACUCCUGAAGGAUCCUCAGGUUCUCUUCGCCGGGUACAAAGUUCCUCAUCCUCUGGAGCACAAGAUCGUCAUCAGGGUGCAGACCACGCCCGACUACAGUCCUCAGGAAGCGUUCACGAACGCCAUCACCGACCUGAUCAGCGAGCUCUCGCUGCUGGAGGAACGCUUCCGCGUGGCCAUCAAAGACAAACAGGAAGGCAUCGAGUGAUCGUGAUGUCACUUCCCCCUCGCCUUGUAAAUAAAGCUGUCCGACUUUUGUGACAAAGUCAAAUCAAAGGUUUUCCAAAUUAUGAAAUUGUUGAAUUUUGAGAAAAGGGGCUAAAGUGCUUCUUCGCGUCUGCACCUUGUUGCAUCCGUGCGGUAUCGAGGCUUUUGAUUGGGGUUCUCCCGUCCGACGUGAUCCAAAACUUCACGAGUGGUUCUCGGGGUGUGGGAUCCAUCGCAACCGGACUACAACGGCGCUUCAAAAAAGUACCGCCUCCAAAAAUAGAUUGCAAAGUACCACCAUAGACUUCAAUGCUUCAGUCUAGCGUGAUCCAAUCCAGUCCAGUUAUUUAUCGAGCGCUUUAACAACAACGCGGUUGCCCGAAGCGCUUUACUGCGUAAACUAAACAAAAAGACACAAACACAGUACUCAUGACUCAAAGUAAUUCAGCCUCGUGUCAGAAAUGUUUGCUUUUUGACAAGACCGGCCCGACGUGCUUCCGCAAAUCAAAGUAUGGGUUCAAGCAAACAGGUGCUCGCCGAUCGGAGGCAGAGUAGGGCGGGGCUUAGUAUUACAGAGACAACAAAUCCUGCCACAAUCUAAAUGGAUUACAGCAUUCAUUGAGAAAGGUGGAAAAAGAACUGGCGCCGUUGGGAAGCUCGGGCCAGAAAGUCAAGGAGCCCGGUUGGCGUGCGCUGAAAGGGGGGAGGAAGCGCUUCGGUUUGCGCUCUCGCUCUUCAGAGGUUACCGGGACGACCGUCUGCCACGGCGGCUUCCGUGACCCCCGCGUGUACGUCGCCAUAAAACGCCAAGUUUUCAUUUCAAAUUGCGCAGCCUCUGCUCGAUCUUUGUCUCCAAUCUUUUUGAAGCUAAAACGCCGUCAAUGAAAUGUAUCACAACACCACGCUCGCCAAAAGUUAGACCGCGUUGGUCCGAAACGCUCAAAAAUAAGUUGCCAAUUUGCAUGCGACCGAGCCGCUCGGAGGGCUUUCAAAACAGCCGCCCGCCCCGCGUGGCGCUCAUCCUCGCGGGAUUCCAAACAGAAAGCAUUUGAAAAUCCGAGCGGCGCACCACACAGAGACAGGCGCUCAUCCGCAGCACACCGUUUUAUUUCUGUCAUAUUUUUCCUUCCCGAAACACGGAAAUGCGAAUCGGUCGCGGCUUCAGAGUUCCAUGCCCCUCUGAGCCGCCAUCAGCCUCUGCAUCUUCUCCACCAUCCACGCGGGCACCGAGAACGGCUUCAUCUCGUCCAGCUUCAUGUCCGGGCAGUCCCUGCGUGCACGCGCAGCGUGAGGCGUGGCCACGCCGCCGUGGCGGCGGCACUCACCUGUACUCGUCACCGCGCGCCAGAUCCUGGACGUCCUCCUCGAUCAGCAGGUCAGGAUCAGGAAAGGACCAGGAUGAACGUGGUAAUCAGGAUCUGGGUUUCUGGCAAGAAAGUGUGACAGGACACCAAAGUACCUUUUUGGGGACUGGACUUCCUCUCUGGCUGCAGCCGUCUUCGGAACCUCGGGAACGCUGACAAUAGAACCGACAAGCGGAAUUGGACUUGAAGACCACGUGCAUCAUCAAGCAUGGCUAUCGUUAAGAUUUUAACGAUACUACAACGCUUAACGAUACUGCUUAUCCAGCUCGUACUUAUUUGUACUUUUAAAUUAUUUACUCUUUUUAAACAUCAGGAUUAACAUCGCUUCACUUUUUUUAAUAAAUGAACUCGUCUUGCAAAUCUGUCAAAUAUAAUAGUAACUUGGUAGGCUGCGUGUCGGUGGAAGGUGUUUUUCGUGGGUCUCGCUUGCAGACCUGAAAGAGCAACUGGCAGGUCUGGUGAAAAAGUUUCCUUUCUCCAUAUAAACGUGCGGCUCUUUUGCCAACUGUUUCUCAGGUCGCUUGCGUUCCCCC
Phycodurus eques (leafy seadragon) is the source of this 3243-nucleotide RNA transcript. It is a transcript of the gene named RNA polymerase II subunit J, with no coding region annotated. The record is from RefSeq and is a predicted model, not a curated record. NCBI's taxonomy places the organism in Eukaryota, Metazoa, Chordata, Actinopteri, Syngnathiformes, Syngnathidae. The transcript has 4 exons.